GACGAACGCUGGCGGCGUGCUUAACACAUGCAAGUCGAACGAGACGAUUGGAAGCUUGCUUUUAAAAGUCGAGUGGCAAACGGUGAGUAACGCGUAGACAACCUGCCUUUGAGAUGGGGACAACAGUUCGAAAGGACUGCUAAUACCGAAUGUUGUAUAUUUUCCACAUGGAAGAUAUAUUAAAGAUGGCCUCUAUUUAUAAGCUAUCGCUCAAAGAUGGGUCUGCGUCUGAUUAGCUGGUUGGUGGGGUAACGGCCUACCAAGGCGACGAUCAGUAGCCGGUCUGAGAGGAUGAACGGCCACAUUGGGACUGAGACACGGCCCAGACUCCUACGGGAGGCAGCAGUGGGGAAUCUUCCACAAUGGACGAAAGUCUGAUGGAGCAACGCCGCGUGAGUGAAGAAGGGUUUCGGCUCGUAAAGCUCUGUUGUCGGGGACGAAUGUGCAGUAUUUGAAUAAAGUACUGUAAUGACGGUACCUGACGAGGAAGCCACGGCUAACUACGUGCCAGCAGCCGCGGUAA
This 523-nucleotide ribosomal RNA is filed under the name uncultured bacterium. Its description in RNAcentral is "partial 16S ribosomal RNA". It matches the Rfam family "Bacterial small subunit ribosomal RNA", at positions 28 to 523 of the family's 1533-position model. The record is from RNAcentral.